RNAcentral lists this ribosomal RNA (399 nucleotides) under uncultured bacterium. RNAcentral describes it as "bacterial SSU rRNA". It matches the Rfam family "Bacterial small subunit ribosomal RNA", at positions 356 to 773 of the family's 1533-position model. The record is from RNAcentral.
GGGGAAUAUUGCACAAUGGGCGAAAGCCUGAUGCAGCAAUGCCGCGUGAGCGAUGAAGGCCUUCGGGUCGUAAAGCUCUGUCCUCAAGGAAGAUAAUGACGGUACUUGAGGAGGAAGCCCCGGCUAACUACGUGCCAGCAGCCGCGGUAAUACGUAGGGGGCUAGCGUUAUCCGGAAUUACUGGGCGUAAAGGGUGCGUAGGUGGUUUCUUAAGUCAGAGGUGAAAGGCUACGGCUCAACCGUAGUAAGCCUUUGAAACUGGGAAACUUGAGUGCAGGAGAGGAGAGUGGAAUUCCUAGUGUAGCGGUGAAAUGCGUAGAUAUUAGGAGGAACACCAGUUGCGAAGGCGGCUCUCUGGACUGUAACUGACACUGAGGCACGAAAGCGUGGGGAGCAAAC